AAUUCUGGAUCAGCAAGCGAGGGGGAAAGACCGGACUGCUCCGACCCACCCCCUCCCUACCCCCACCUCCCACCUUAAAGCACCUUAUACCACGGAAGCCUCUCAGCCUCUUCUUUCCUCUGCGAACGCGCUGAGCAGCGAUUGAAAACGUUUUGGUCCUCUCCAGGGGCGCAUUCUGGGGUCUCUGCGCAAGACCAGCUCUCAGCUCUCUCUCCUUUCCUCGGACUCUGGAGCGGGAGCGGGCCUUUCCCUCGGGCCGACCACGCCGUAGGGGACGCCAUGAAAAGAGCCGUCGCGCCCGCUGCCUCCUGCCCGCUGCGCAGAGGGCUCCGCCCGUAGAGGUCAACUUCCCUCACCCUUUCCUCUCUCCUGCUCGCCCUCCCUCCGCUCGGCCCAGGCGCUUCCAGCCGCAGACUCUGGCCACAGGCUGAGGAGUGCGAGUCGGCUGCGCUGCCGAGAGCCGAAUCGCCCUUCCGGGCCCAGACCCGAGUUCCGCGCUCCCGGGCAGUGGGAAAGCUUUAGUGAGCAGCCUUUUCUCUCCGCAGCAAACUCGUAGCCAGACCAGAUGGGCCGCCCAGCUCUCUCGGGACUAGGCAGUUUGAUGCCCAUUACAAAUUUUCCUGCUAUGAAAGAAAUUCUAUGUGCGGCAGUUUUGCAAUAAAACAACCCAGGCUUCGCAAUUGGAGAACUUCGGUGCGGCGUGCCGUGGGAGUCCUUUGACAAUCUCAACUUUCAUCUAGGUCUGAAAUUAAAGCUUCUCGGAAUAAUUUAGGAACAGCUUGACCCGUUGAGACACUCAAGGACAACCCUCCAGGGAAAUAGUAUAUUUCCUUCCUGGGAACAAGAUGCUAGCGCGGUGCACCGGGAGGUAUCCGGUGUCAACAAUGCCAGAACGCCCUCUGCUGCCUCAAAGAGGUAGGACAUCAGUUACAAAAGCCAGAUGGCACAGUGGCAAUAAGCGGAGGAAACAUUAAGCUCUUAGAAACGUUUAUCUGUGAAAUGUAAAAGCGCUCAUCACAUUCUACUUUUGAAAGGGCCACCUGAUUUUGAUUUUGAGCACUCCUUGGAUGCUAUCUUCUAUUCUGGAGGAUAAUGAAAAAUCCGUGUUUUGAAAUUUUCAGAUUAUUUCUGUAGUUAUAUUUCUCCACCCUUUCUCGAAUUUUAUAUGGAAAUACGAAGUUGCAAGUCGAAGUGAAAAACCUUUGUGUAAACAGGUGAGUGGAGAAGACGACCUGACUUCUCUAGAUAACUAAGAUCUAAUAAAGAGAGAAAUCUUAAUUAAAAUAAAGAUACCGAGCACAUGUUGUUGCAUUAGUUUAAAAAGAUAAUAAUAAAAAGAAAUUAAGUCUCGAUGUAAAUAAUUGUUUUGUUGUUUUGUUUCAGUGAUUAAUCCAAAUUUUGACCAGGCUUUAAGUUUUGAAAUAAGAAAGUGAAUUAUUUUAAAGAAGAAGAAAAAUUUGCUUCAUUUUAAUGUGUACACUAUUUUUGCCCUUAAAACCUUUACAAUAUACUUAUACACACACACUCAGCUUGCAAACCCUCCUUUAGAAAAUAACCCACUCUGAGUAGAAGUAAUCAGAUAUGGUAGCAGCAUGGGCAAAGUCAGAAGAAACGUUAUUUGCAUUAAAAAUGAGUUUUUCAGUAUGGAAAAUCAAUUACCAAAUGAAACAGAGAUUUUUGUUAAAGGUUCAAACCUUUUUAAAUUUUUAUGUUAUAGGGUUUAUAUUGAUUAAAAUAAAUGUACGUUUGUAGUUAUUCAACAUUAUGAAUUUCAAGAUUGCUGCCUAUUUUGAAACACACACCUUUGCCAUGAAGUCUGUUGUUGCAUAUAUCAAUGCUGAUGUAAUAAAAUGCUUCUAUUAACUAUGUGGUUGUUAAAUAAAUCUUGUAAAAAU
Molecule: long non-coding RNA, 1895 nt
Organism: Macaca fascicularis (crab-eating macaque)
Lineage: Eukaryota; Metazoa; Chordata; Mammalia; Primates; Cercopithecidae
Source: Ensembl